UACGAAGGGGGCUAGCGUUGUUCGGAUUUACUGGGCGUAAAGCGCACGUAGGCGGAUCAUUAAGUCAGGGGUGAAAUCCUGGAGCUCAACUCCAGAACUGCCUCUGAUACUGGUGAUCUUGAGUCCGGAAGAGGUGAGUGGAACUCCUAGUGUAGAGGUGGAAUUCGUAGAUAUUAGGAAGAACACCAGUGGCGAAGGCGGCUCACUGGUCCGGCACUGACGCUGAGGUGCGAAAGCGUGGGGAGCAAACAGGAUUAGAAACCCCGUAGUCC
RNAcentral lists this ribosomal RNA (272 nucleotides) under uncultured prokaryote. Its description in RNAcentral is "partial 16S ribosomal RNA". It matches the Rfam family "Bacterial small subunit ribosomal RNA", at positions 524 to 796 of the family's 1533-position model. The record is from RNAcentral.